GAAAGAAUUGCUGAGUGGACAAAAGCGGCAGAUUGUAAAUCUGUUAGUAAUAUCUUUCGUAGGUUCGAAUCCUACUUCUUUCA
Molecule: transfer RNA, 83 nt
Filed under: SAR324 cluster bacterium
Lineage: Bacteria; Deltaproteobacteria
Description: tRNA-Tyr
Rfam family: tRNA
About the family: Transfer RNA (tRNA) molecules are approximately 80 nucleotides in length. Their secondary structure includes four short double-helical elements and three loops (D, anti-codon, and T loops). Further hydrogen bonds mediate the characteristic L-shaped molecular structure. tRNAs have two regions of fundamental functional importance: the anti-codon, which is responsible for specific mRNA codon recognition, and the 3' end, to which the tRNAs corresponding amino acid is attached (by aminoacyl-tRNA synthetases). tRNAs cope with the degeneracy of the genetic code in two manners: having more than one tRNA (with a specific anti-codon) for a particular amino acid; and 'wobble' base-pairing, i.e. permitting non-standard base-pairing at the 3rd anti-codon position.
Source: RNAcentral